AAUGCCCGAUUUAUAAUACUCUUAGGUGGAUGUGUUUAUAAAUCUUUAUACUUGAUUGUAGAAAGACUAUUAUUUUAUUAUUUAUUCCCACAUUUGAUCGAGAUUAGAUUAUAGAGAUUUUUGUGUGGGCCUGACGUUUUUAUUUGCAUUAUGUAACAUGAUUUUUUUUACAAUGUUUCUGUAGAAAUCCUGAAGAUGAGGAACUCCAUCUUAGAGAAGCAAGUUGAAAUGCAGAGGAUGAAGCAAGUGAGCAAGUGUAUCAAAUAAUCCGCUCGCAAGAUUGAGGGUAAAAAUUCUGAAGCUGUUGCAGGGUGUUACGAAAACUUUCAGCAAUAUCAAUUAGAGUCCCUCUGGCUGAUGAUGUUAAGGAGCUUCACUAGGAAUGUGCAUGCACUAUUCUUAUCUCUUCACAGAAAUAAUGAAAUUGUCUUUCAGCAAUUGAGAAGCCUCAACCUAUUAUACCAGCAAGAUCUAUUUGUUUACUGGAUUGCAAGAGGAGGCCUAAUAAGUCGUUGCUCCUGGAUUCUCCUGUUGUUAUUGCUUUGUCUUUCUUCUCAACUAAUGUCGUGAGCAUCGAAGUCUCCCUUAAUUUGCAGUUUCUCGAAAAUCAUCCAAUACAUGUCAAAUUAUCAAAAUUAAUUGAAAUUGUGGCGGAUAGUACAAGGAUCGGAAACAAAUAAAUCUUGGCUUCCAAAACAAAGAAUUGACGAGGUAUUACUUGAUUCCACGAAGGUCAAGAAAUGGUUGGAGGAGAAAGAGGCUGAACAGGCUAGGCACAGAAAAUCAUCAAAAAAAGAGAGAAUCUGCAGCUAUCUUUCUCACUGGCAAUUUAUUAGAAACAAUGAGGAGAUAUAGAGGUCCUGAGGCCACGGCUGAGUACAUUCAUAGCACGCUGAACAUUAGAUCAUGACUAUGUCAAAUAUGAUCGGGUCAGUGGAACAAAUGUCGCUAGCGGAUCAUCCGAUUAAGGGCUUUUAUUUCAUGGUAGUUGGGGUUCCGCAGCUUCUGUUCCUCGGCGGUCUUCCUUUUCUUGAGAAACAAGCCUCUCACAUUGCACACUUGAUUGCUGGGAGAUCUGGCAAGCAUCUAUUUAAUUGAUAAAGAUGUUGACAGGCCUCUUCUCCAAAUGGGUCAUGACCUGGAUGAUCUUAAAUUCAUGUUAGCAAGGAUUUAAGAUCAUCCAUUAUAAAGGAUUUAGGAUUCAUGUUAGCAAGGUUAAGUGCUCUUUGAUGUUUGUAUGUAAACUUGGUUUUACGAUUUUGAUAUGCCUAAAUAGUUUUUCCUCAGCUGUCCUCAUGUUUGUGUGUUUAACACUAUGUAGUAAACUACGAUACGAAAAUGAUGAGGGAACAUCAACGGAGUUUUGCAAGUAAUGCAUUUUUCUAA
Molecule: long non-coding RNA, 1386 nt
Organism: Daucus carota subsp. sativus
Lineage: Eukaryota; Viridiplantae; Streptophyta; Magnoliopsida; Apiales; Apiaceae
Exons: 8
Source: RefSeq, a predicted model, not a curated record